AAUAUUGGACAAUGGAGGAAACUCUGAUGCAGCGACGCCGCGUGAGUGAAGAAGGUCUUAGGAGCGUAAAACUCUGUCCGUGGUGAAGAUAAUGACGGUAGCGAAGGAGGAAGCCACGGCUAACUAAGUGCCAGCAGGCGCGGUAAGACGUAGGGGGCUAGCGUUGUCCGGAUUUACUGGGCGUAAAGGGUGAGUAGGCGGUUAUGUAUGUCAGAUGUAAAAGGCGUGGGCUUAACUUACGUUAGCAUUUGAACCUGCAUAACUUGAGUGCGGGAGAGGUAAGUGGAAUUCCUAGUGUAGCGGUGAAAUGCGUAGAUAUUAGGAGGAACACCAGUGGCGAAGGCGACUUACUGGACCGUAACUGACGCUGAGUCACGAAAGCGUGGGUAGCAAACAGG
Molecule: ribosomal RNA, 398 nt
Filed under: uncultured bacterium
Lineage: Bacteria
Description: partial 16S ribosomal RNA
Rfam family: Bacterial small subunit ribosomal RNA
Source: RNAcentral